AUGUUCGACACAAAGUGGCUCUGCAAACUCGGCGCCUCGCUCCCUCCCUGCCCGGCCGGUUCCCCGCGCCCUCACGCCCCGACUCGUCCCGGCGCUGGUCCCGGGCUCCCUCCUGCACCGAGGACCGCAGAUCCGCACCUCAGGGCGCCGCCGGCCACACCAAGACCCCCCGGCCCGGUCCCCCCAGCCAGAGGCCGGGCAGAGGACGCACGGUCCCUGCGCCGCACCGGCCGAGUCUUGCCUUCCGCGGGCGCCAUCCGCGCGCUGGGCCCCCCGCGCCCCGGAAGUCUGCGCUCACUUCCCCGCCGCGCCCGCGGGACGCGCGCCCCAGCCUCCGGCCCCCGGCCCCGGCCGCGAGGGGGCCCCGCGCGGAGAGGCAGCCAGAGCGCAGAAUUCGCUGUCCAGCCCAAGCGGCGGGCCCGCCGGGCCCCGGGCCGACUCCACCCGCCCUGCCGCUCCCCACGGCGCCUUCCGGCGACGGCGAGAGGCCGGGGAGGGAGGGGACGGCAGGGACGGCGGGCGAGGGGCGGCGGCGGGACCUGGGCAGCACGACGACGAGGGGAAGUGCCAACAUCGGGGCCCCAAGCGGGGAGCCGACCUCGAGGGCCCCCGGGUCCCCGUGUAACCCGAGCCCGCUCGGCCGCCCGCCCCCGCUGCCGCCGGAGCCACAAGAUCUGCAAAUCAGCCCUGGACAGCGCCUCGCUCCGCGUCCUUCCGCGCCCUCCCCCUCCCGCGGCCGCCCGGCCCGCCGCCCCCACCCGCCCGGCCCUUGGCCCACGCCGCGCUUACCGGCCUUCUUGGGCGAGGAGGGGCGAAGCCCCGGCGGCGCGGCUCCUGCUCCGACUCCUUUUCUUUGUUGCCGGACUUUCGGGGGAGGGGAGGGAGGAAAAGUUGGGCCCGGGGCCGUCGAGGCCCGCCGAGCCCCGAGAGGGGGUCUGCAGAGGCCUCAGGCCUCGGGCUCCCGCCCCGCCGUCCCGGCCACCGCCCCCGCCGCCGGGGUCUGGGGCCCGGGGCCUCGGCGGCGCUCGCUCGGCUCGGGCGCCCGGAGCUCGCGGGAGCCGCACAUUCCAGCACAGGAGGUUGCGCCGCGCGCCCGGCCCGCGCCGC
RNAcentral lists this long non-coding RNA (1107 nucleotides) under Sus scrofa (pig). RNAcentral's name for it is "lncRNA (ENSSSCG00070011973.1)". The record is from RNAcentral. Lineage: Eukaryota; Metazoa; Chordata; Mammalia; Artiodactyla; Suidae.